UACAGAGGUCUCAAGCGUUGUUCGGAUUCAUUGGGCGUAAAGGGUGCGUAGGUGGUCUGGUAAGUCGGAUGUGAAAUCCCGGAGCUUAACUUCGGAACUGCAUUCGAUACUGCCGGACUGGAGUACUGGAGAGGAGAUCGGAAUUUACGGUGUAGCAGUGAAAUGCGUAGAUAUCGUAAGGAAGACCAGUGGCGAAGGCGGAUCUCUGGACAGUUACUGACACUGAGGCACGAAGGCCAGGGGAGCAAACGGG
This 253-nucleotide ribosomal RNA is filed under the name uncultured bacterium. RNAcentral's name for it is "partial 16S ribosomal RNA". It matches the Rfam family "Bacterial small subunit ribosomal RNA", at positions 524 to 776 of the family's 1533-position model. The record is from RNAcentral.